GAUGAACGCUGGCGGCGUGCCUAAUACAUGCAAGUCGAGCGAACGGACGAGAAGCUUGCUUCUCUGAUGUUAGCGGCGGACGGGUGAGUAACACGUGGAUAACCUACCUAUAAGACUGGUUAACUUCGGGAAACCGGAGCUAAUACCGGAUAAUAUUUUGAACCGCAUGGUUCAAAAGUGAAAGACGGUCUUGCUGUCACUUAUAGAUGGAUCCGCGCUGCAUUAGCUAGUUGGUAAGGUAACGGCUUACCAAGGCAACGAUGCAUAGCCGACCUGAGAGGGUGAUCGGCCACACUGGAACUGAGACACGGUCCAGACUCCUACGGGAGGCAGCAGUAGGGAAUCUUCCGCAAUGGGCGAAAGCCUGACGGAGCAACGCCGCGUGAGUGAUGAAGGUCUUCGGAUCGUAAAACUCUGUUAUUAGGGAAGAACAUAUGUGUAAGUAACUGUGCACAUCUUGACGGUACCUAAUCAGAAAGCCACGGCUAACUACGUG
This 496-nucleotide ribosomal RNA is filed under the name uncultured bacterium. RNAcentral describes it as "partial 16S ribosomal RNA". It matches the Rfam family "Bacterial small subunit ribosomal RNA", at positions 28 to 507 of the family's 1533-position model. The record is from RNAcentral.